UACGGGGGGGGCAAGCGUUGUUCGGAAUUACUGGGCGUAAAGGGCGCGUAGGCGGCCUUCUAAGUCGGACGUGAAAUCCCUCGGCUUAACCGGGGAACUGCGUCCGAUACUGAAAGGCUUGAAUCCGGGAGAGGGAUGUGGAAUUCCAGGUGUAGCGGUGAAAUGCGUAGAUAUCUGGAGGAACACCGGUGGCGAAGGCGGCAUCCUGGACCGGUAUUGACGCUGAGGCGCGAAAGCUAGGGGAGCAAACGGG
This 253-nucleotide ribosomal RNA is filed under the name uncultured bacterium. RNAcentral's name for it is "partial 16S ribosomal RNA". It matches the Rfam family "Bacterial small subunit ribosomal RNA", at positions 524 to 776 of the family's 1533-position model. The record is from RNAcentral.